This 226-nucleotide ribosomal RNA is filed under the name Onychostoma macrolepis. RNAcentral's name for it is "partial 28S ribosomal RNA". The record is from RNAcentral. Lineage: Eukaryota; Metazoa; Chordata; Actinopteri; Cypriniformes; Cyprinidae.
CCGCCUGACGUGACGAUACCGCAGCGCCGCGGGGCUCUGAUUGGCCUGGGAUAGCCGGUCGACCCUCCGGGGCCGGCCGGUGCGGAGAGCCAUUCGUGACUGGACCGGGGAGCGGCCGAACGAGCGCCGCCCCUCUCUUGAGACGCACCUAAAGUUUGUGGAGAAUCCGGUGCUAAAUGACUCGUAGACGACCUGAUUCUGGGUCAGGGUUUCGUGCGUAGCAGAG